Long non-coding RNA from Oreochromis aureus, 1180 nucleotides. RefSeq lists it as uncharacterized. Lineage: Eukaryota; Metazoa; Chordata; Actinopteri; Cichliformes; Cichlidae. The record is from RefSeq and is a predicted model, not a curated record. The transcript has 3 exons.
AAAUUCUCUUUUUUUUCUUCAAAUUACUUCAUUAUCAAAUGGUUUUUUUUUUUGGAAGGGGGGGGGGUUGUCAAUGUGUGUUUUGUGCUGAAAUUCAGGGUAAGCAAGGGACAUGAGGUCAUACAGUAUUGGGGUAAAAACAUGUUCCCCAGUGCUGCUGUAAUCCAAAGAGGAAUAUGUCUAUUGUUCAUCAUAGUUUCAAACUGCCAGUUGCUUUGCCUACAAACCACAGUGGGACCACUCGUUGCUCUGGAAGAGUUGAAAUCUACUAUCAAAAAAGUUGGGGAACAGUUUGUGAUGAUGGCUGGGACUUAAAUGAUGCUGAGGUGGUCUGCAGACAGUUAGACUGUGGAACAGCCCUGAAUGCCACUAAGUCAGCUCAUCCUGGUGAAGGAAGUGAGCCAAUCUGGCUUCAUGAUGUGUCCUGUUCAGGAAGUGAGAGAUCUCUGACUGAGUGUCAGCACAGAGCUGUAAAAAGGAGCUGUACACACCAUAACAAUGCUGGUGUCAUCUGUUCAGAUUCCACAGAUUCAAUAAUUCCAGUCCUGAGAUAUGUUUUCCUGCCACUGAUUCUGCUUUUGGAAAACAUUGCCCUUCAUUUCUACUAUAAGGUCAUCAAAAAGCAGAAAUCAGACAAAAAGGAGAACGAUGAGACGGAUGUUUCCAGAGCUGAAGAAGUGGAGGCCGAGGAGGAAGCAGUCCAAGAAAUAGAAUAAAAUAUUACACACACACAGAGAUGCCUUCAGAAAGAAAUUUUGCUUUGUGGGGGAAAAAAAGUUGCACCUCAAUCAGAUGCUUUUAGCAGCCAUCAACAAGUUCAUGAUAAUAUUCUGGUUGGAUAUUUGAACACUCUUCUUGGCAUAAUUGGUAGUCUAACUUUAAACAGAUCCACUACAGUAGUGCAACCCCUCUGCUGUAUUUAAUGUCCAGUAGAAACUCUUAAUAGCAUUAAAUUAUAAUUUUUCCACCAGCUUUCGUAAACCUCUUUACACAUUAAAAUCUAAAAACAUGAAGUUAUUAUUUUAAAAACAUUUUAAAAAAAGUCAGUUUGACCAUUCAGACAUUUUACACCGCAAAUCACAAAACUGUUUCCACUAAACAUUUCCUCAUUCGUCCAUUUUAAUCAAAUCUAAUAAACAGUAACUUUCAAUGUUUUCUGUUUUUGCGCCUUGCAAAUAAA